CCAUUUCGUGUAUGUGUCUUGUGGGUGAGACGAAUGGCAAAAAUCUCUUGCGUUUUAUGCAUUUUUGUGUGGCUCGUAGUCUGUCCAUCAACUCCCCAUGUGCUGGAUGGUUGCAGAGGAGGGAGAGCAGUGGUUUUGGCUGACAUUCACUCAUCUGGGAGGGAUAGAGAGCCUCGCUGGAGCAGAGGCCAUCUUCAGAGUUGCCAAGGCUGAGAGUGAAGCUCCCUGUUGGUAGGAGCUUGGCAUCUGCUUUCACACCUUGGGCUGGACUUUGGAGACCUGAGGUGCAACAGUGGUGGCAGAAGACAUAUUACCUGGAGCUGGAGCUGUAAUGUUGGGACCAAGAAGGAAAGAUCAAGAAAACUACAGAGACACUGGCCCUGGCAUCUCGGUGCUACCAAAAUAAUGCCAUCAGUCAACAGGUGUGGGACUGUGGCUUUUCCAGCAGGGGUUUUGCCAUGUAAAUUCUUUGGGAAACUGCCGACACCCUGAUCUUCUUCAAUGGUGAGACUUGGAUGAAUUCAGG
Molecule: non-coding RNA, 526 nt
Organism: Vicugna pacos (alpaca)
Lineage: Eukaryota; Metazoa; Chordata; Mammalia; Artiodactyla; Camelidae
Source: RefSeq, a predicted model, not a curated record